RNAcentral lists this transfer RNA (91 nucleotides) under Claviceps africana. RNAcentral's name for it is "tRNA-Pro". It matches the Rfam family "tRNA". From Rfam's summary of the family: Transfer RNA (tRNA) molecules are approximately 80 nucleotides in length. Their secondary structure includes four short double-helical elements and three loops (D, anti-codon, and T loops). The record is from RNAcentral. Lineage: Eukaryota; Fungi; Ascomycota; Sordariomycetes; Hypocreales; Clavicipitaceae. RNAcentral also lists the same sequence under 1 other name.
GGCUUCGUGGUUUAGUGGUAUAAUUCUCGCUUAGGGUCACACCCCGAGCUCCAUCUGCGAGAGGUCCCGGGUUCGAUCCCCGGCGAAGCCC